AUACUUACCUGGCAGGGGAGACACCAUGAUCAAGAAGGCAUUUCAGCCAGGGCGAGGCUUUUCCAUUAGACUUUAGCCAUGCUAACCCCUGUGAAUUCCCCAAAUGUGGGAAUCUCAACUGCUUAUUUUAUAGUAGCUGGGGACUGUGUUCGCACUCUCCCCUG
Carassius auratus (goldfish) is the source of this 164-nucleotide small nuclear RNA. Its record names the gene U1. It matches the Rfam family "U1 spliceosomal RNA". From Rfam's summary of the family: U1 is a small nuclear RNA (snRNA) component of the spliceosome (involved in pre-mRNA splicing). Its 5' end forms complementary base pairs with the 5' splice junction, thus defining the 5' donor site of an intron. There are significant differences in sequence and secondary structure between metazoan and yeast U1 snRNAs, the latter being much longer (568 nucleotides as compared to 164 nucleotides in human). Lineage: Eukaryota; Metazoa; Chordata; Actinopteri; Cypriniformes; Cyprinidae. The record is from Ensembl.